GAUGAACGCUGGCGGCGUGCUUAACACAUGCAAGUCGAACGGAAAGGCCCAAGCUUGCUUGGGUACUCGAGUGGCGAACGGGUGAGUAACACGUGGGUGAUCUGCCCUGCACUUCGGGAUAAGCCUGGGAAACUGGGUCUAAUACCGGAUAGGACCACAUUUUGGAUGGUGUGGUGGAAAGUUUUUCGGUGUGGGAUGAGCUCGCGGCCUAUCAGCUUGUUGGUGGGGUAAUGGCCUACCAAGGCGUCGACGGGUAGCCGGCCUGAGAGGGUGUACGGCCACAUUGGGACUGAGAUACGGCCCAGACUCCUACGGGAGGCAGCAGUGGGGAAUAUUGCACAAUGGGCGCAAGCCUGAUACAGCGACGCCGCGUGGGGGAUGACGGCCUUCGGGUUGUAAACUCCUUUCGCUAGGGACGAAGCGCAAGUGACGGUACCUGGAGAAGAAGCACCGGCUAACUACGUG
Molecule: ribosomal RNA, 465 nt
Filed under: uncultured bacterium
Lineage: Bacteria
Description: partial 16S ribosomal RNA
Rfam family: Bacterial small subunit ribosomal RNA
Source: RNAcentral